CUGGAGAGGAUAGAAGCAUGUCGGAAUGUGGGGUCUAAUUCUCAUAAAGCAAGACUAAUAGCUGAAGCUUUAGCUAGACCACAAACCUGUUUUCACUGUGGUGAGACAGGACAUAUAAAAAAGAACUGCCCACGAUUAAC
Long non-coding RNA from Neopelma chrysocephalum (saffron-crested tyrant-manakin), 140 nucleotides. RefSeq lists it as uncharacterized. Lineage: Eukaryota; Metazoa; Chordata; Aves; Passeriformes; Pipridae. The transcript is spliced from 3 exons. The record is from RefSeq and is a predicted model, not a curated record.